Molecule: long non-coding RNA, 1027 nt
Filed under: Anas platyrhynchos platyrhynchos (common mallard)
Lineage: Eukaryota; Metazoa; Chordata; Aves; Anseriformes; Anatidae
Description: lncRNA (ENSAPLG00000021512.1)
Source: RNAcentral
CCUUCCACCGCCCCUUCCUCCGGGUCUCCCCGGCCUCGGGGGCGAAACCAGCUCCGCGGGGAGGGACGGGGGACAGGGGACAGGGAACAGGGGACGGGGAGGUCCCGCACCCCGCACCCCGCUCCCCGCACCCCAUCCUCCCCCGUGCGCCCCGACGGCCCCCGGGAGGCCUCGGGGGCUUCGCUCCCGGCCGCCCCCCGCGCACCUCGCCCCGUGCAGUCGCUGCCGGUGUCGCUGCCGGUGUCGGUGUCGCUGCCGGUGGCGGUGGUGGUGGCGGUGGCGAUGUCCCUGCGGCCGCCCCCCGCCCCCGCCGGCCCCUCCUGGCCGCCCGGCUGCGAGCCGAUGGGAGGGCCGAGCGGCAAUUCAUCUUGAUUUGCCUUCAUUGUCCGGAGCUGGCGAACUAUAAUCCUGUAUAAUUUCACGAACAAGCAGGUUUAGAAUUAAUGGGUCACUAUUAUUUAAAACAAAACACGCGAGAGCACGACCUUUCCCUUCAACUACACGCCGCAGCGCCGAGCCGCAGGAAACUCGGGGCUAACCUCUCACCCCCCCGCGCUCGGCGGGGCUGCGGUUAUUUGGGCUGCUCUUUGUUUCCCUUAAUGUCUGCAAGGGGAUUUGGAAGCAGAAAUGUAAUAUUACAUGAAGGAUCUCCCCGCUUCGGGGAGAAGGUGCUCGCAGGGGGCGGCCGAGGGGACAGAUGAUUUCGCACGGGAGCGCGGGAGAAAUUUAUGCUCGAGAUACAGCAACUUCGGGGCUGGCGAUGUCAAAUAAUCCAUUUUCUCGGGGCUGCGCAGGGGAGCAGUGGCAGCCCGGCCGCCCGGCGCACACAGGAGGCAGCGCUUCUCGCAUGCGACUUCAGCGCUCGGGGGACGAGGUCCCGUGGCAGCGACCGGUCAGUCCCUGCAGACGAGUCACCGCUGCGCCCCUCGGAAAGAAAAAAAAAAAUAAAAAUCCAGACAAAAGCGUAUGCUGUAUAUUUUUACUCCCAUGAAAUAAAACACAUUUGUCAUGUUCGCUGAAAAGGAAA